GGAGUUAGCCGGUGCUUCUUCUGCGAGUAACGUCACAGAUGUAAGGUAUUAACUUACACCCUUUCCUCCUCGCUGAAAGUGCUUUACAACCCGAAGGCCUUCUUCACACACGCGGCAUGGCUGCAUCAGGGUUUCCCCCAUUGUGCAAUAUUCCCCACUGCUGCCUCCCGUAGGAGUCUGGGCCGUGUCUCAGUCCCAGUGUGGCUGAUCAUCCUCUCAGACCAGCUAGGGAUCGUCGCCUAGGUGAGCCUUUACCUCACCUACUAGCUAAUCCCACCUGGGCUUAUCCAUCAGCGCAAGGCCCGAAGGUCCCCUGCUUUCCCCCGUAGGGCGUAUGCGGUAUUAGCAGUCGUUUCCAACUGUUAUCCCCCACAAAUGGGCAAAUUCCCAGGCAUUACUCACCCGUCCGCCGCUCGUCAUCUUCAAAAGCAAGCUUUUGAAAUGUUACCGCUCGACUUGCAUGUGUUAGCGUCGCCGCCACGCGUCAUCUGAGCAUAUACAACACUACUACGAGAGNGGCGGCGCGACGACGCG
RNAcentral lists this ribosomal RNA (534 nucleotides) under uncultured bacterium. RNAcentral's name for it is "partial 16S ribosomal RNA". The record is from RNAcentral.